AUUGAACGCUGGCGGCAUGCUUUACACAUGCAAGUCGAACGGUAACAGGUUAAGCUGACGAGUGGCGAACGGGUGAGUAAUGCAUCGGAACGUGCCCGAUCGUGGGGGAUAACGCAGCGAAAGCUGCGCUAAUACCGCAUACGAUCUGAGGAUGAAAGCGGGGGACCGUAAGGCCUCGCGCGAUCGGAGCGGCCGAUGUCAGAUUAGGUAGUUGGUGGGGUAAAGGCCCACCAAGCCGACGCACUGUAGCUGGUCUGAGAGGACGACCAGCCACACUGGGACUGAGACACGGCCCAGACUCCUACGGGAGGCAGCAGUGGGGAAUUUUGGACAAUGGGCGAAAGCCUGAUCCAUCAAUGCCGCGUGCAGGAAGAAGGCCUUCGGGUUGUAAACUGCUUUUGUACGGAGCGAAAAUGUCCUUUCUAAUACAAGGGGCUCAUGACGGUACCGUAAGAAUAAGCACCGGCUAACUACGUGCCAGCCGCCGCAGUAA
Molecule: ribosomal RNA, 493 nt
Filed under: uncultured bacterium
Lineage: Bacteria
Description: partial 16S ribosomal RNA
Rfam family: Bacterial small subunit ribosomal RNA
Source: RNAcentral